CCGCACCGAAUUGCUCAUCAACGGGGUAAAGAUUUCCAGGCGGACCCGUUAUAUACAAGAAAUUAGUUGGUGGAGGCGGUGGAUAGUUAGGUGAGACUUUCUUAGGCGGUGGAGGGAGAGCAGGGGGAGGAGGACACGCUGGAGGCGGUGGAGAUGGUGGUGGAGGAGAUGGUGGAGGAGGGUUUUGGAUACAGCUUGGCGAGCACUUUAUGGGAUCUACCUCGUCGAGCUUCCUCAUGUUGGCUGGAGAAGAAUCUGAUGAAGCGUUAAUGAUUAUUGGACAAGUCAGCAACGUGAUCAUCACCGUGAAGAUUAUGACUGCAACGUUGG
RNAcentral lists this long non-coding RNA (330 nucleotides) under Brassica napus (rape). RNAcentral's name for it is "long non-coding RNA (BNAP_LNC020021)". Lineage: Eukaryota; Viridiplantae; Streptophyta; Magnoliopsida; Brassicales; Brassicaceae. The record is from RNAcentral.